Molecule: long non-coding RNA, 462 nt
Organism: Pipistrellus kuhlii (Kuhl's pipistrelle)
Lineage: Eukaryota; Metazoa; Chordata; Mammalia; Chiroptera; Vespertilionidae
Exons: 2
Source: RefSeq, a predicted model, not a curated record
GCUACAAAAAAAUUUUUUUAGUUAUAUUUUUAUCUGGUUGCAAAGCCAUUUUGUAAGUCUAAGGGGAUAAAUCUACACCGUCUCCCCACCACUCCCACGGAAAGAAUUCGGGUGGAAGAGCCGGGGUCACAUUCCUCAGAGUCAGACAGAGCUUCACAUUUUUCCUGUAGCCGGAAUCAACUACAAGUCAACUCACUGCUGCUCUUUAUGCUACCAAACAGGAAGGAGCUCCCUGAGUAAUCAAUGAAUUAAAACUUGAAGCUUGCAGAAGGCAUGCCAAUCACAAAUAUACUUUACAAAACACAAAUUUGGUCAACCCCCCUGCCAAAUUUAUCCAACUAAAAUUGUUCAGCAACUACUAAGUACCACACACCAGGGAUUCUACGGUAAGUGCCUUUAAGGAGAAUUUAAUCAAAUGCACAAACUUAGCUGCAUGUCUUCAUUAAUAAGCUCUGUCAGAUG